RNAcentral lists this ribosomal RNA (468 nucleotides) under uncultured bacterium. Its description in RNAcentral is "partial 16S ribosomal RNA". It matches the Rfam family "Bacterial small subunit ribosomal RNA", at positions 28 to 506 of the family's 1533-position model. The record is from RNAcentral.
GACGAACGCUGGCGGCGUGCUUAACACAUGCAAGUCGAACGGAAAGGCCCUGCUCUGGGGGGGCUCGCGUGGGGCGAGCGGGUGUGAAACACGUGUGUAACCCGCCCUUGACUGGGGGAUAUCUUGAGGAAACGGGGGAUAAUACGGGAUAAGAGCUCCUGCUGCGUGGGGGGGGGGGGAAAUUUUCGGCGGUUGGGGAUGGACUCGCGGCUUAUCAGCUUGUUGGUGGGGUAGUGGCUUACCAAGGCUUUGACGGGUAGCCGGCCUGAGAGGGUGACCGGCCACAUUGGGACUGAGAUACGGCCCAGACUCCUACGGGAGGCAGCAGUGGGGAAUAUUGCACAAUGGGCGGAAGCCUGAUGCAGCAACGCCGUGUGCGGGAUGACGGCCUUCGGGUUGUAAACCGCUUUCGCUCAUGACGAAGCGUUGUUGACCGUAAGUGGUAAAAGAGGCACCGGCUAACUACUG